Long non-coding RNA from Cynara cardunculus var. scolymus (artichoke), 1952 nucleotides. RefSeq lists it as uncharacterized. The transcript is spliced from 3 exons. The record is from RefSeq and is a predicted model, not a curated record. Lineage: Eukaryota; Viridiplantae; Streptophyta; Magnoliopsida; Asterales; Asteraceae.
ACCGGUUUGUUCCUAAAUCGAAGGAUUGUUCUCCGGUUUGUUUUCAUCGCAUCAAUCGGCUUCUAAUCCAAGUCUAAACCGCACACAGCUUCAUCGGAUUACUUGAGCGGAUUUUCACAAGCCUUGAGUGGUUUAAGCUAAACCGCACAAUCAUCGUGAUCGGAUUAUAAAUCGCACAACUCAACAGGUUUGUUGUUUCUUUUCAAUUUCAUCUUAAGGUUUUAGUUUGAGCGGUUUAUACCUAAACCGAUCAUCUCUUGAGCGGACUAAUGACCGGAUAGAUAAUCGUUUGGCUUAAUCGAAAGGUUCAGUUUUGAUCUAAAUCGAUCAAUACUGUAAACAGAUUGUGACCAGUCUUGAUCUUAAUCGAUGAACACAAUAAGGAGAUUUGCACAAAUUGCUACUGUUUAACAGGUUUCUAGGCUGUUUGAUUUUGAGGAUCUGUAAAAUCGUUCAUCCCCUGUUCAGAUUUGGUCUAAAUCGUUUGCUACUGUUUCUUGAUCUAAUUUGGUAAAUUGCUCAGGUUACUGUAUUGAUUUGAUGCAGCAGCAACAUUUCAACGACUCUGAAAGCCUGAUGAUAUUUUUGGAUAUAGAUAUAAGUUGUUUGGCAUCUUGAUUGCUGUUGGUGAGGCUGUUGCCUAUGUUAAGACUGUAAUAGCAAUUCAAUUACAGGUAAGAACUAACAACCUGUUUUUCAUCCUUUUUGCUUGCAAUUGCAUAGAAGGUAAGGACUAACAAUUUUUUUUUGUGCUUUGAGCAAUUCAAAAUCUGUUUUUGAGUUCCAUCUUGCUGUUUCUUUGAGGAAUGGUAUAACAGCCCAGGUGGGACAAAGUGAAAAGAGUGCAGUUUUGAAGCCGUUGCUGUUUGAUUUUGAGAUUCUGGAAGUGUAAAGCCCGUAGGCACAAACUGGUGUAUUUGUUUGUCUUGUGGGAAGGUUGUGUGUGAACAAGAAGAGAGGGCUGUAGAUUUGUGAGGAACUAAUGCAGGACUGUAACAGAAGCAAAACUUGACUUGGCUGUUUAAGCGAUACACAGCAGGGCUGAAACAGCAGCUAACACAUUCACAAAGAAGAGUGAAUUUGUUACUAAUUAUUGACCUGAGUUUAAACACACAGGUGGGACAAAGCUGUUUGUUCCUGCUGUUUCUUCAAGGUUUUGUAGUUACUUGGUACAAGAUUGACUGUCAAUUUUGGUGCAGGAACCUGUUAAGCUGUGUGUUUUAAGCAGAUUUGAUAGUAUUCUUAAACUGUUUGAUUUGGAUCAUUUUGAGAGCUUCUAUUAGCUACACAGUUUUUUUGAAGCUGUUGGUGUGGAGACUGCAGCAGCAACAACAACAUUGGACAGCUAUUUGUAACAGCAAGUACUAUAGAAGGUUUCUGUUUAUGUGUUUACAAUUUGAGGACUGAAAAAAGCAGCUUCAUUUUGGUAAUAGCACAGUUUUAAAUUGAUUUAAUCUGAACUGUUUUUAGUUGUUUGCUCUUGCUGUUUCUUUAAAGAUUUGAGGCUUAAAAUGUAUUUUAAUGUUGUUUGUAUAGCAGACUGCUAGCUUUGAGUAGUCUUGAGUGUUGAAUCAAUUGCUGUUUUGAUUGAGUUUGAGCAUUAGUGAAGAAACACAGAUUGUUGAGCUUCAUGUGAAACACAGAUUGUUGAGUGACUUGAGCAAGUUUAGUUAUACAGAAGCAAUUUAUACAGUAGCAGCUCAGCACCAAUCCAAGAUGCAAAUGGUUUAAGCAUACAGAGUGGAAAGCAGUUUCAUUUUGAUUGUAAUAACAGCAGCAGCAAUAACAGUGGAUAGCUUGGUGCUGUUCAACAGACUUCAAGUAGCUACACAGAUUAAUCAAAGAAUUCCUUUCAACAUCAAUCAGUUGAAUUGAUCAAGCAUUUCAUUUGGUGUAAUCAUACCAAGGAAUUCUGUUUUUGGGUCAUAUGUACUUGAACUGUUUUGUGUAAU